GCCUUCGUGGCUCAGCUGGUUAGAGCGCCGGUCUCAUAUCUGUCCUUCAUGAACAAUGUGAUUGUCGUUGGACAAGUCAUCCGGAGAUCGCCAGUUCGAUCCUGGCCGAGGGCA
This 114-nucleotide transfer RNA is filed under the name Puccinia triticina. Its description in RNAcentral is "tRNA-Met". It matches the Rfam family "tRNA". Rfam says of the family: Transfer RNA (tRNA) molecules are approximately 80 nucleotides in length. Their secondary structure includes four short double-helical elements and three loops (D, anti-codon, and T loops). Lineage: Eukaryota; Fungi; Basidiomycota; Pucciniomycetes; Pucciniales; Pucciniaceae. RNAcentral also lists the same sequence under 1 other name. The record is from RNAcentral.